GGAAUAUAAGAACCUGUUUCUUAAUUUUUAACUAAAAAAAACUAAGAACCGGUUCCUAAAUAAGAGUUUUAAGAGCUGGUUCUUAACUUUUUUAGUUAAAAGUUAAGAGACGGGUUCUUAUAUUCC
MicroRNA precursor from Brassica oleracea var. oleracea, 126 nucleotides. It matches the Rfam family "MIR9563 microRNA precursor family". Lineage: Eukaryota; Viridiplantae; Streptophyta; Magnoliopsida; Brassicales; Brassicaceae. The record is from Rfam.